GCCUAUUUAGGGUGCGGCGGCGGGCGGGAGCAGUGCGCCCAUGGCGGCCCUGGGGGACGAGGUGCUGGACGGUUACGUGUUCCCGGCGUGCCCCCCCUGCUCGUACCGGUACCCAUACCCCGCGGCCACCAAGGGCAAGGGCGCGGCGGGCGGCAGCUGGCAGCAGCGCGGCAGGGGCUGCCUUCCCGCCUCCUCCCCCUGCUCGGCGGGCGCGGCCUCGUUGUCCUUCCCGGGCUGCGGGCGGCUGACGGCCGCCGAGUACUUCGACAGCUACCAGCGGGAGCGGCUCAUGGCUCUCCUGGCGCAGGUGGGGCCGGGUCUCGGGCCGCGCGCCCGCAGGGCCGGCAGCUGCGACGUGGCGGUGCAGGUGAGCCCGCGCAUCGACGCCGCGGUACAGUGCUCGCUGGGGAGGCGCACGCUGCAGCGCCGGGCCCGCGACCCCGAGUCCCCGGCCGGCCCCGGGGCCGAGGGCACCACGGGUGGCGGCUCUUUCUCCCAGCAGCCAUCCCGUCGAGGCCUGGAGCAGGGCAGCCCCCAGAACGGCGCCCCGCGGCCCAUGCGCUUCCCGCGCACCGUCGCCGUGUACUCGCCCCUGGCCUUGCGCCGUCUCACCGCCUUCCUGGAGGGGCCCGGGCCCGCGGCGGGCGAGCAGAGGUCCGGGGCGUCGGACGGAGAGAGGGGGCCGCCGCCCGCGCGGCUUCAAGGCCCAGAGGAGGGGGAGGUGUGGACGAAGAAGGCGCCCCGGCGGCCGCAGUCCGACGACGACGGCGAGGCCCAGGCCGCAGUCCGAGCGAGCUGGGAGCAGCCGGCCGACGGUCCCGAGCUGCCGCCGCGAGAGGCCCAGGAGGGCGAGGCGGCUCCGCGGUCGGCGCUAAGGAGCCCGGGGCAACCUCCGUCGGCGGGGAGGGCCCGAGACGGCGGCGACGGACGGGAGGCGGCCGUCGCGGGAGAGGGGCCGUCGCCACGGAGCCCGGAGCUGGGCAAGGAGCGGCUGCGCUUCCAGUUCUUAGAGCAGAAAUAUGGCUAUUACCACUGCAAGGACUGCAACAUCCGCUGGGAGAGUGCUUAUGUGUGGUGUGUACAGGGAACUAACAAGGUUUACUUCAAACAGUUUUGCAGAACUUGUCAGAAGUCUUAUAACCCUUACCGAGUGGAGGAUAUCACCUGUCAAAGUUGUAAACAAACGAGAUGUUCCUGCCCAGUAAAACUUCGCCACGUGGACCCUAAACGGCCCCACCGUCAAGAUUUGUGCGGUAGAUGCAAAGGCAAACGCCUGUCCUGUGACAGCACUUUCAGCUUCAAAUACAUCAUUUAGGUGAAAGUCAGUGUUGCUGUGCAUGCGCUGAUGGAGUAGACGAGUGAGCUUUUCCGUGCCUCUCCUCCACCUCUCCCUUCUCAAAAUACUUCAUGAAAGGCAGUGUAUUCUGAAAAAGCCUUCAAAUAAAGGUUAUCCUGGUGUUUUAUGUGAGCAGUAUUCACUCACAGGCCUGGAUGAGGAACCUUACUCUGCCCUUGAGUCUUUUCCAAGAAAGCAUGUAAUGAUUUCCUAAAUUUAAGGGAGGUUAUGUGUUUUGCCACACCCUCUAUUUUACAUCACUAAAAGUAGAAAAUAUAUUUUAAAAUAAGAAAUCCUGUGGUUUUGUUUUAGAAGCAGCAUGAAGAAACUGCCGGAUUGCUGCUUUUGCUGUUGUCUUAUAAGCGUACUAUUUAAAAAUGAUAAAUUUAGUGGGCAAAAGAAAAAGGCUGUAUGUAGCAAAAACUGGGCUCCAAAUGGAACUAAAUCAGGUAAUAAAUUAAGCAUUGGUAUAUAUUUGUUAAUAAAUGCUAACUUGGGAUUCAGAGGCUGAGGAGCAGAGAAGUGUAGGUUGGAGGAAAAUGCUGUUGCAGAAGGCCAUCCUAAUGAAUUUGUUUGCAUCUUGCUUGCUGCAGGUAUAUUCAUUUUUAUUAUAUUAAUAGACUUAGUUACAUAUAAAUAAACACAAAAAGCAAAUAUCAACUGAAAGGUUUGGUUGGGUAGUCAACUAAUUUUGUUCUUUUCUAGGGCAAUUCAAGAAGGUAACAUUUGAAAGGUUUCUAAAUGAUGCACACUGUAAUCAUUCAUUCUUUGUUAAAAUACAACACAAACCAACAGCUACAAUGCUUUUUAUUUUUAACAAAAAGGAUGUAAGGAGGGUAAGAAAAACAGAGGACAGUAA
Homo sapiens (human) is the source of this 2195-nucleotide RNA transcript. It is a transcript of the gene named zygote arrest 1, with no coding region annotated. The transcript has 5 exons. NCBI's taxonomy places the organism in Eukaryota, Metazoa, Chordata, Mammalia, Primates, Hominidae. The record is from RefSeq and is marked reviewed.